This 497-nucleotide ribosomal RNA is filed under the name uncultured bacterium. Its description in RNAcentral is "partial 16S ribosomal RNA". It matches the Rfam family "Bacterial small subunit ribosomal RNA", at positions 28 to 507 of the family's 1533-position model. The record is from RNAcentral.
GAUGAACGCUGGCGGCGUGCCUAAUACAUGCAAGUCGAGCGAACAGACGAGGAGCUUGCUCCUUUGACGUUAGCGGCGGACGGGUGAGUAACACGUGGGUAACCUACCUAUAAGACUGGGAUAACUUCGGGAAACCGGAGCUAAUACCGGAUAAUAUUUCGAACCGCAUGGUUCGAUAGUGAAAGAUGGCUUUGCUAUCACUUAUAGAUGGACCUGCGCCGUAUUAGCUAGUUGGUAAGGUAACGGCUUACCAAGGCAACGAUACGUAGCCGACCUGAGAGGGUGAACGGAAACACGAGAACGUAGACACGGUCCAGAAGGCAACGGGAGGCGGCAGGAGGGAAGCUUCAGAAAGGGGCGAAAUCCGGACAGAGCAAAGACGCGGGAGGAAUGAAGGGAUACGGAUCGUAAAACUCUGUUAUUAGGGAAGAACAAACGUGUAAGUAACUAUGCACGUCUUGACGGUACCUAAUCGGAAAGAAAAGGCUAACUACGUG